UACACCCGUUACAAUAUUGUUUAUAUAACAGUGAUUAGUUAUCUACUAGUCAAAUAUGAAAAAAGAAGACAAAGAGAAGAGGAGGAGAAAUGAUGUAUGAGGUUGUAAGAAGUUAAGUUUGUACUGAAGUGAGCUGACCCUUUGACUAGUGGUGGAAAGGGUCAGGUCAGCUGACCUGCACUAGCGUGGUCAGAUGAGUCACCCGAGGGGUCAGUUGAACUGUAACCUGAGUGAUAACGGAUGUAAAUAUUCAUUGCUAACUCAAUCAGUACAAAAUGGUGGUUCGGACCGAAGAGAUCAACGUGAAUGUCCUCAAGCUAACUUACGAUUAGCACCUUUGAUCGGCACCUAAGGAAUCAAUCCCCAGCCGAGCUUGUAAGAAGAAUAUCCCCACCGUGGAAAUCAAAUACGUCAAAAUCAAUCUCACCUGUGAACUUUGUCAACGCCGGUCAAUGGGUGAUAAUACGCUCGACCAUUGCACUGAAGAUCCAAAUGUGAAAUGGGCCUCAUGGAAGGCGUAACGCAUGAUGAUAGCGAAAAGAUAAAUAC
This 549-nucleotide small RNA is filed under the name Histoplasma capsulatum var. duboisii H88. Its description in RNAcentral is "Histoplasma capsulatum H88 hypothetical RNA". Lineage: Eukaryota; Fungi; Ascomycota; Eurotiomycetes; Onygenales; Ajellomycetaceae. The record is from RNAcentral.